This is a non-coding RNA of Parelaphostrongylus tenuis, 77 nucleotides long. Lineage: Eukaryota; Metazoa; Nematoda; Chromadorea; Rhabditida; Metastrongylidae. The record is from the annotation of a GenBank genome assembly.
GCGUCGGUGGUGCAAUGGUUCAGCACAUGUUCCUGGAAAGAGUGAGGUCUCGGUUCGAAUCCCGGCCGGCUGACGCA